This 4269-nucleotide long non-coding RNA is filed under the name Sus scrofa (pig). RNAcentral describes it as "lncRNA (ENSSSCG00015053416.1)". The record is from RNAcentral. Lineage: Eukaryota; Metazoa; Chordata; Mammalia; Artiodactyla; Suidae.
CAGAUUUUAGCAGCUCCUAGAAGAGUUUUUAGCACACAGCAAAUAUUCAGUGACAUUUUAUAUAUUACAUCAUUCUUAGUGAGAUUUUCUGUUUUUGAGUGCUUCUUGGAGGCCAGGCAGGAAACUUCCUUAUCCUAAUGUGUUAUUUCAUUUAAUUCUCCCACAGCCCUACAUUAGGAGGUCUUCUCAUUCCCAUUGGAGAACUGACACCGCUAAGACUCAGGCUGAGUGCCUUAUCUGGGGUCUUACAGCUGGCAGUUAGGAUGACAGGAUCCAAUCCCCCACCUGACUCGCUGACUCUCUGUGUGCUUUCCUUUAUAUCACAUUUCUGCCCAGCCAGACUCCAUGCCCAUGGGAAGAGGGUUGAAGCCUCAUUAAGUGAAUAAGCAUUACUACAAAACUAUGUUUGAUUUGUAUUGUUGUGGUAGUUUCUGGUGUAUAGCAAAGUGAUUCCAUUACACACACACACACACACACACUCACACAUUCACAUUCUUUUCCAUUAUGGUUUAUCACAGAAUAUUGAAUAUAGUUCCCUGUGUUAUAUAGGACCUUGUUGAAACAAUAGAAAUUUUAAAACCAAAAUGACAGCUCUCUGCUUACCUUCCUCUCUGGUAAACACAGUGAGCAAAACUGUCUCUUCACUUUGCUCAGCUCCCUGGGAGAAAGCCACACACACACACACACACACACACACACACACACACACACUCUGUCUCUCUCACACACACUCAUAAACACACAUACACACCCUCACACACAUAUUCAUGUACAUAGACACGGUUCUUUCUACAAAGAAGAAUCCCAAAGGAAUGUUACUUAUGCUUUUUCAUGGGCUUAUUCCUCUGUAUAUUAGAAUAUGUAUGAACCUUGACUUUUUUUUACUUUGGGAAACCUCAAACCCCAGAAUUCAUUCCCUCUCCACACACAAAAAAAGGCCUUUUACUAAAAUAAAAACAGUUGCUGGUUGUUUCUGCUAUGUUAUGUGGCAGUUGUUGACUGGAUACUGUUAAGGUGGAUGUAUUGUAUUUCAGAACUCAUUUGAGGUAAAUUUUAUUGUUAUGAAGAGAGAUAUAAUUCAAGCCAGGCUCUGGAAAAAUAACAACAGCAACAACAUAGUCAUUUAUGGAGAAUUACGAAACCACAGAGAUGGUACAUGAGGAGGUCUGUGUGCAUUUUUUGUCGUCAGGCUGAAAUCAGGAUGAAAGAAAAGCCCUAUUUUGAGUUUUAGGCAGGAUGUCAAGAAAUUACCUCACAGGUGAAACGGCCACAGAAGAGGCCCUGGCGUUACUUGAGUCCAGUACCAUUUGGAAGGAAUCCAGUCCAGCCUUUGCUUUGUGUCGGAUUCCACUCUAGGGAAUAGCGAUGUCACAGGGAGGUUUUGAGUCACUGGGGAAUAAGGCAUAGUUCCAAGAGUGAUGGAAAGUGCUGUAGGCUUGUUAGAGGAACAAACUCCAUACUGCCCUGCUUGCUUCUGCCUGUGCAGAUGCACCUGUGUGAGCAUGAAGAGGAGAGGACCCCUCCCCAGAAGGAUCUGAUGACAGUUCUGGGUCUUCUUGCCCAGAAAUGGGGAACUCUCAUCUUCUCUCACUCCUUCUUCCACAGGUGUGUACACACAGUGUCCUGGGACACAUGGACUCUUGGAACCCGUCCAUGAACCUCCUGUUAAGGAUUCUUAAGUUUGCAGGGUUCUAGACAAUGCUCUGAAAAUCAUUAUUCUCCUUCAGCCAAGAUGAACUCAAUCCCAGGAUACUGUUUCUGUUUCUUCACCUGUAUUUCUCAACAUCCAUGGAGCAUUUCCCAACAUAAGGGCUUUAAAGGGAUGAAGUUCCACAUACCAUGGAAAUUGAUCGGGUGAUGGGAAGGACCUUCCUUUCUCGGGAUGACUUUAUCUGGAAUCAUUGCCCUCUCCACUGAGGUUUGACGCAUACUUUUUUCUGCAUGGUCCUGAAGGAGCAUAGUCUAACAUGACGUAAACAUAUCCCCCCCAAAAUUCUAUAUGUAAUAACAUAGAUCCCAUGGAUCAAACUUUCCAUCUGUCCUUUUAGCGAUGGGGCCUCAUUAAUAGUUGCAAACCACUGGGAGCUCCAGGAAUAAUGGUGCCAUGAUUUAUGUGAUAAUCCCUGAGUUGCACUUUUAUAGUUAAAACAUCAAGAGCAGGUUGCUGAUUUCUUAAGAGUAACAGUAACUCGCAUGCAGGGACAGUUUUUGGUGUGCCUCAUUUGGAAAGAGGCUGGUGAUAAGAAAAAAGAAAACAAACCCCAACAAACAGAAAAGCUGGCUAAAAUUUCAAUUUGGUAUAAAUUUGAGCCAGUUUUCAAUACCUGUUCACCUUCAUUUUCUCAUCCAAAAAAAGGAAAUCCGAAGUAAUGUUUUUAAAAAUAAGUUUGUUGCAAUAAGUAAAUGAAAAAAAUAACAAAGUGUUUACAUUGGCUUUGGCACAUCUAAGUGCUAAAUAACCAGUAACUGAAAUUGAUGACCAUUUAUUAUUAUCCAGUAGUAGCUGUUGGUGGGUCUCAGACCCCACAGAGUGUGGCCUGGCAGAGUCUAUGUGUCUUGGAAGAUAUUGGUCUUUAGACAGGACUCAGAUAUUACUGAGUUAAUUUGCAAAAUUUAGGGAGUGGGGCCUGGCUAGGAUGAAAUGUGUUUAACCAUGUAGUUUUCCAUUCACCGAGAACCCAGGCAGUUGUUUUCCCAUUCACCACUUAUGAAUGAAGAGAGAAUUCUGUAGCAGAGUCUUUCCAUUUUACUCUCUGAAGUAUUAACGCUUCUCAUAGCCAAGUGAAAAAGAGCGAAAAAUAGCAAGGCAGGCGGGCUUCUCAUCCAUUGCCAAAGCAGCUUGGAUUCCUGGCUGCUAUUAGUUUAUGUUUUAAAUGCAAGGGAGGAGAAUCCUCCAGAUCCUUAAUACAUUAAAAUAUUUUUAACACUUCACCAGUCACUCCAUCACUCUCUUUCAGUAAACUUUUUUUUUUUUUGGGAUAACUCAUUCUCACUCCCAUUUCCUUUCACCUAAAUGUUUUCCUCCUAGAGGAAUUUUCAAUUUCCUUGUUUUCUGUGAAAUGGGAAUAAUUAUAGUAACUAGAGGUACUUCUUAAGGGCGUAGUUGAAAACUGUGUCAUUCAGAAUCCCCUGAAGGAGGAUAAGUCAGGAGAGGGGUAGUGAAAGGAAACUUUUCAUGGAUAUGGGAAGAUUGUGGGGCGGGGCUGAGCAAACUUUUUCUGGAAGGGGCCAAAGAGUCAAUAUUUUCAGCUUUGGGGCCACGUGGCCUCUGUUUCAGCCCCUUGACUCUGCUGUUGGUAUGAAAGCAGCAAUGGACAGCACUUCCAGGAGGGGAGGUGGCCUCCAAUAAAACUUUAUUAACAAAAACAGGCUUUGGGCUGGGUCUGGCUCAUGGGCUUUGGUUCGUCCAUCCCUAGUUUAAGGACAUUUGGGCGAUGGGGUCGUACCGGGUUAGGGGCAAUGCUAUGACUGCCUUUGGCCUGAAAGACAGGAAGGAGGUACCAGAAGCCAGAAGGAGGAGGCGCUGUGGAGCCAGCUUCCCAGAGGGGUGCUGUGGUCCCUGGAUAGAUGCUCUUAUCCAGAAACCACUCCACAAGGAGGGCACUGGGGGACAGAUACCCAGGUCUUGUUUCUCCCCUGUCUUUUGCUUCUCCUUUGGUGUGGCCCCUUUGACUGAAGUCAGCUAGAAGCCAGCAGAACAAGGGAGCCCCCUGGCCAGGCCUGUAAAGGGUGUCCUUGCUGGGAACAGGGUGAAAAAGUGCAGGUGGAGUUAAUGGAAUACGGGAGCCGAAUUCUUAGCGUAGAUUCCCUGGUACCAAGAGCUCUGUAAACACUGUUUUCCUGUUGUUGUUUACUAAUCCUAGUCAUCAUAAACAUCUCCAUCUCUGAUUACAUGUAGGGUUUAUGUGCAUUCUUUCAAUUUAUAAUCUAAAGAGUAAAGGACUAAAGAGAACACGAACGGAAUGUUCCGUAGAGACCUACUCAAUGCAGGAAUUUGUCAUGUAAUAGUUUACAGUCCCCUGGGCCAAGCACGCUCUCCUUUAGACUUUUCCUUCUACAAGGAUGCUUUUGGAAAGACGUGAUACUAAGCUGUCCACUGGGGUUUGAAAGGAGGGAAACCAUGCUUGCCACAAUGAAUGAAUGAAAAUUGACCCUUUAUAGGAGCAAGUACUUCCACUUAAGGAAAGUAUUACUUGAGUCACAUCCCCAAACAUCACAUCACACUUCACCUGAAAGUGAUAAAGGCCAACAAAAUGAAUGUCUUGAUAA